Small nuclear RNA from Dermacentor albipictus, 185 nucleotides. RefSeq annotates it as U2 spliceosomal RNA. NCBI's taxonomy places the organism in Eukaryota, Metazoa, Arthropoda, Arachnida, Ixodida, Ixodidae. The record is from RefSeq and is a predicted model, not a curated record.
ACACAUGGCCAACGCGGGUCAAACUGUAGUAGCUGUUCUUAUCAGCUUAAUAUCUCAUAGGGGUUUAAUUUGGACCCAAGAUGUUAAACUUACUUUUGCAAGUUGGCGAAGUGCAUGACGCCUGCUUCACCUCCGCCUUGGGCCGGCCCGGUAUUGAACGAUCUCCUUUUUUUUGCAGACGCCGA